GACGAACGCUGGCGGCGUGCUUAACACAUGCAAGUCGAACGGAAAGGCCCUGCUUUUGUGGGGUGCUCGAGUGGCGAACGGGUGAGUAACACGUGAGUAACCUGCCCUUGACUUUGGGAUAACUUCAGGAAACUGGGGCUAAUACCGGAUAGGAGCUCCUGCUGCAUGGUGGGGGUUGGAAAGUUUCGGCGGUUGGGGAUGGACUCGCGGCUUAUCAGCUUGUUGGUGGGGUAGUGGCUUACCAAGGCUUUGACGGGUAGCUGGCCUGAGAGGGUGACCGGCCACAUUGGGACUGAGAUACGGCCCAGACUCCUACGGGAGGCAGCAGUGGGGAAUAUUGCACAAUGGGCGGAAGCCUGAUGCAGCAACGCCGCGUGCGGGAUGACGGCCUUCGGGUUGUAAACCGCUUUCGCCUGUGACGAAGCGUGAGUGACGGUAAUGGGUAAAGAAGCACCGGCUAACUACG
This 466-nucleotide ribosomal RNA is filed under the name uncultured bacterium. Its description in RNAcentral is "partial 16S ribosomal RNA". It matches the Rfam family "Bacterial small subunit ribosomal RNA", at positions 28 to 505 of the family's 1533-position model. The record is from RNAcentral.